RNAcentral lists this transfer RNA (86 nucleotides) under Candidatus Colwelliibacteriota bacterium. Its description in RNAcentral is "Candidatus Colwellbacteria bacterium tRNA-Leu". It matches the Rfam family "tRNA". Rfam says of the family: Transfer RNA (tRNA) molecules are approximately 80 nucleotides in length. Their secondary structure includes four short double-helical elements and three loops (D, anti-codon, and T loops). Further hydrogen bonds mediate the characteristic L-shaped molecular structure. tRNAs have two regions of fundamental functional importance: the anti-codon, which is responsible for specific mRNA codon recognition, and the 3' end, to which the tRNAs corresponding amino acid is attached (by aminoacyl-tRNA synthetases). tRNAs cope with the degeneracy of the genetic code in two manners: having more than one tRNA (with a specific anti-codon) for a particular amino acid; and 'wobble' base-pairing, i.e. permitting non-standard base-pairing at the 3rd anti-codon position. The record is from RNAcentral. Lineage: Bacteria; Candidatus Colwelliibacteriota.
GGGCAAGUGGUGGAAUGGCAGACACGUAGGCUUCAGGAGCCUAUGACCGCAAGGUUGUGAGGGUUCGACUCCCUCCUUGCCCACCA